AAGAAAAGAAAACAUGAUUCAGUAAAUGUGCGAACCUUUGGCUGAAACGGCUUUAGCUCAGCGCUCUGGAAUUCUGGGACAUCUGUCGUACUCUCAACUGCAGUGUGGGAAAAAAGGCGACAUCUGACCUAGAGACGCUACUUCCUGUAGAGAAGUUUACACUGGGGGAGUCAGAACAGAGCUAAAAAUGGAGUCUGAAGCCGAGCCAGGACCGUUACUUCCUGUGGGUCAAUGAGAUGAGAGAUUCCUUUGUGAACAAGGCACAGGUCGACGCUGGAUUUGCGGAGAGACUAAAAUUAAAAAGCAGUGCUGUGCCGUCAAUAUUGGAUCCGACAGGAAUGGCGCAGCAAUCUUAUUAAGGGCGCGGAGAGAGGAUAUAAGCACCAGAGGAAGGCACAAUGGGAGAUGAGAGACGGACUCAACACUAGCUGCUACAGACCCAAACCUUCCAGUCAGCCAGGAGGACCUGCGCUGGCUUCCGAGCGACACAAGCCAGGCUGAGAGAGAAGCCGUGGACGUUUUUACUGUUUACUUUGGGUGCUCUAUUUCAUUUGGUUUUUGAAUAAAGCUGUGUCAGACUCGCCAACCUUGUCCUCUUCCUUCCUUCUAACAACGAACUCGCUACAGUGGCAUUGUGCAAAGUGCAAUGUUUUAGUGAAACAUUGUUACAUAUUAAAGCUUUAAGGCACAUAAUUUAGGCUUUUUUCCUGACCAGCCUUCAUAUGUGUUCAGAUGUUGACAAGACACUAUCGGCUAACUGAUCCACAACAUGAAAGCCUGCCACACCAAAACACUAGUUAACAGACAAAAUAAACAGCACACCUCACUGACAUUCUUGAUAUAAAGGGAUAUUCAAGCUUGUAGUGCAAUGUAUGCAAAACCAAACAGAACUUAAUCUAAAAGAAGGCAAACAU
This is a long non-coding RNA of Triplophysa rosa, 914 nucleotides long. RefSeq lists it as uncharacterized. NCBI's taxonomy places the organism in Eukaryota, Metazoa, Chordata, Actinopteri, Cypriniformes, Nemacheilidae. The transcript has 3 exons. The record is from RefSeq and is a predicted model, not a curated record.